This is a non-coding RNA of Cinara cedri, 240 nucleotides long. Lineage: Eukaryota; Metazoa; Arthropoda; Insecta; Hemiptera; Aphididae. The record is from the annotation of a GenBank genome assembly.
AUUUUUAGAGCAUGGAGUUUUAUGGGUCGUUACACUGCCAGCUCUAAUUAUAAUUGAGGCGCAGACCGCAAAAGUUGCCUAUAUUCUAUUAAAUCAUAAACGGUGGUAAAUUUGGUUUGAAUUUUGUUUCAUGAAAAAUCUAAAAAAUCAAUCAGUUAUACAUAGUAUAAUUUAAAUAAUUCCAAACAGCUUAUCAAUAUGUCAUUUUCUUAACUUUGGUGGAUCAGGCCACUACUUUGU